Amblyraja radiata (thorny skate) is the source of this 488-nucleotide long non-coding RNA. RefSeq lists it as uncharacterized. NCBI's taxonomy places the organism in Eukaryota, Metazoa, Chordata, Chondrichthyes, Rajiformes, Rajidae. The record is from RefSeq and is a predicted model, not a curated record. The transcript is spliced from 3 exons.
GUAAACCAGCAUCUGCAGUUCCUUCCUACACAUUAAGAUCUAUUACUUUGGUUCUCGACUCAUGCUUUGUGUGAUUCACACAUAUGCGUACCUAAAUUCCCUUUCUCUUUACGUACUCCGUUUAAGAAAACAUUCUGGUGUUUCUUUGAUUCAAGAUCGUUGAGGUUUUGUUCUCACUUCUGUCGGUGGCCUCCUAAAACUUUUGUUAAUGUUACCUCCCCCUUUUGUACUUUCCUUCUUGGAGAAUUUACUUUCUGUUGCUAACUUUGAGUCCUCAAUUGAUCUGGAUUUGCAACUCUUCCUUCUAAACCAGUAGGAUGUGUUUAAAAAGAUGGUGAUAUCCCCAAUAGAUCCCUGUGGAGCACCACAUUGCUGCAUCCUAGUAAAUGACUGAACCCCUCAUUUAAGGUGGCACAGUGAUGGAGUUGCUGCCUAACAUUGCCAGAAACCCGGCUCAGAUCCUGUCUUUGUGGUUUGUACGUUCUCCC